Molecule: small nuclear RNA, 100 nt
Filed under: Chinchilla lanigera (long-tailed chinchilla)
Lineage: Eukaryota; Metazoa; Chordata; Mammalia; Rodentia; Chinchillidae
Source: RNAcentral
GUGCUCACUUCAGCAGUACAUAUACUAAAAUUGGAAUGAUAGUGAGAUUAGCAUGGCCGCUGUGCAAGGACUUUUUUCCUUCUCAUUUUUGUAUCUUUUU